GGUUUAAACGAAUUCGCCCUUGAGCGCGCCCUAUUAAUCCUCCUGCAAGGCUAAUCCAGGCGCAAAUCUCUCUCACGCAAAAGUCGGUGUCUCUUGCAUACGAGACCGCCGGUCCCGCCGUUUUCCCCCUCCCCACGGGAGGGGAUUGAGGGGAGGGCGAACUAAACUCUCACACAGGCCCUAUGGAUCGUUUCCAAAACAGCGUCUGUUUGCCGCAGCACCUCGUGAUUCCAAAAACGCAGCACCCGAUACCCGUGCUUCCUCAACCACGCACUGCGCUCCUCGUCCGCCUGCGGCUGCAAGGCAUGCUGUCCACCGUCCACCUCGAUUACCAGCAUCUGAUCAAAGCUCACAAAAUCCACGAUAUAGGGACCCAGUGGGCAUUGGCGGCGAAACUUGCAGCCUGCGACCUGCCUGCGACGUAGCCGUCGCCACAACACGGUCUCGGCAUCGGUCGGACGAUUGCGCAAAUCGUGUGCAUAAGAACUCUCGGACAUCGGUUUUUUCGAUCGCCCUCCCCUCAAUCCCCUCCCGUUGGGAGGGGAAGUCCAUGAGGAUUCGUGUCAUGCAAGGGUGUUGAUCGCGGCGUUGCCGAAUUUCGGCGAAGACUCUUCUAGACCGCACUCUUACGCGUCGUAGUAGAGUGCGAACUCGUAGGGGUGCGGACGCAGCCGGAUCGGGUCGCAUUCCUUAGUGCGCUUGUAGUCGAGCCAGGUCUCGAUGACAUCGCGGGUAAAGACAUUGCCUUUGAGCAAAAAGUCGUGGUCUUUCUCCAGGGCAUCGAGCGCGGCUUCGAGCGAAGCGGGGCAGCUCGGGACCUUGGCGAUCUCUUCGGGGGGCAAGUCGUAGAGAUUCUUGUCGAGCGGAUC
RNAcentral lists this ribosomal RNA (869 nucleotides) under uncultured archaeon. Its description in RNAcentral is "partial 16S ribosomal RNA". The record is from RNAcentral.